UACAGAGGGUGCGAGCGUUAAUCGGAAUUAUUGGGCGUAAAGCGCGCGUAGGCGGUUACUUAAGUCGGAUGUGAAAGCCCUCGGCUUAACUGAGGAAGUGCACCCGAAACUGAGUAGCUAGAGUACGAAAGAGGGUCGCGGAAUUCCCGGUGUAGAGGUGAAAUUCGUAGAUAUCAAGAGGAACACCAGUGGCGAAAGCGGCGACCUGGGUCGAGACUGACGCUGAGGCGCGAAAGCGUGGGGAGCAAACAGG
This 253-nucleotide ribosomal RNA is filed under the name uncultured bacterium. Its description in RNAcentral is "partial 16S ribosomal RNA". It matches the Rfam family "Bacterial small subunit ribosomal RNA", at positions 524 to 776 of the family's 1533-position model. The record is from RNAcentral.